RNAcentral lists this non-coding RNA (66 nucleotides) under Lysinibacillus fusiformis. RNAcentral's name for it is "partial 16S ribosomal RNA". It matches the Rfam family "Bacterial small subunit ribosomal RNA", at positions 1 to 66 of the family's 1533-position model. RNAcentral also lists the same sequence under 20 other names. The record is from RNAcentral. Lineage: Bacteria; Bacillati; Bacillota; Bacilli; Caryophanales; Bacillaceae.
UUUAUGGAGAGUUUGAUCCUGGCUCAGGACGAACGCUGGCGGCGUGCCUAAUACAUGCAAGUCGAG